AGCGAACGCUGGCGGCAGGCUUAACACAUGCAAGUCGAGCGGGCAUCUUCGGGUGUCAGCGGCGGACGGGUGAGUAACGCGUGGGAACGUGCCUUCUGGUUCGGAAUAACUCAGGGAAACUUGAGCUAAUACCGGAUACGCCCUUUUUGGGGAAAGGUUUACUGCCGGAAGAUCGGCCCGCGUCUGAUUAGCUAGUUGGUGGGGUAACGGCCUACCAAGGCGACGAUCAGUAGCUGGUCUGAGAGGAUGAUCAGCCACACUGGGACUGAGACACGGCCCAGACUCCUACGGGAGGCAGCAGUGGGGAAUAUUGGACAAUGGGCGCAAGCCUGAUCCAGCCAUGCCGCGUGAGUGAUGAAGGCCUUAGGGUUGUAAAGCUCUUUUAUCCGGGACGAUAAUGACGGUACCGGAGGAAUAAGCCCCGGCUAACUUCGUGCCAGCCGCCGCCGUAA
This 452-nucleotide ribosomal RNA is filed under the name uncultured bacterium. RNAcentral's name for it is "partial 16S ribosomal RNA". It matches the Rfam family "Bacterial small subunit ribosomal RNA", at positions 29 to 523 of the family's 1533-position model. The record is from RNAcentral.